This 253-nucleotide ribosomal RNA is filed under the name uncultured bacterium. Its description in RNAcentral is "partial 16S ribosomal RNA". It matches the Rfam family "Bacterial small subunit ribosomal RNA", at positions 524 to 776 of the family's 1533-position model. The record is from RNAcentral.
UACGAAGGGGGCUAGCGUUGCUCGGAAUCACUGGGCGUAAAGCGCGCGUAGGCGGACAUUUAAGUCGGAGGUGAAAUCCCAGGGCUCAACCCUGGAACUGCCUUCGAUACUGAGUGUCUCGAGUCCGGGAGAGGUGAGUGGAACUGCGAGUGUAGAGGUGAAAUUCGUAGAUAUUCGCAAGAACACCAGUGGCGAAGGCGGCUCACUGGCCCGGUACUGACGCUGAGGCGCGAAAGCGUGGGGAGCAAACAGG